This 207-nucleotide unclassified non-coding RNA is filed under the name Glomus sp. RNAcentral's name for it is "partial contains 5.8S ribosomal RNA and internal transcribed spacer 2". The stretch from base 1 to 72 matches the Rfam family "5.8S ribosomal RNA", at positions 84 to 154 of the family's 154-position model. The record is from RNAcentral. Lineage: Eukaryota; Fungi; Glomeromycota; Glomeromycetes; Glomerales; Glomeraceae.
GUGAAUCAUCGAAUCUUUGAACGCAAAUUGCACUCUCCGGUUUUCCGGGAGAGUAUGCCUGUUUGAGGGUAUGUUUAACACAUAAUCGAGGCUGCUGCUGUGGAGGCAGUUCGGAAUUGGGGGAUCUUUCCUCUCUCGGUUGUAAGCGACCUAAAUUUUUUUUUACGAUUUCUACGAAAGUGUCUAAGAAUUUCUUGUACGUUCUGG